ACGGAAAGGCCCAGCUUGCUGGGGUGCUCGAGUGGCGAACGGGUGAGUAACACGUGGGUGAUCUGCCCUGCACUUUGGGAUAAGCUUGGGAAACUGGGUCUAAUACCGAAUAUGACUAUGGUGUGGUAGCCAUGGUGGAAAGCUUUUGCGGUGUGGGAUGAGCCUGCGGCCUAUCAGCUUGUUGGUGGGGUAAUGGCCUACCAAGGCGGCGACGGGUAUCCGGCCUGAGAGGGUGUACGGACACAUUGGGACUGAGAUACGGCCCAGACUCCUACGGGAGGCAGCAGUGGGGAAUAUUGCACAAUGGGCGCAAGCCUGAUGCAGCGACGCCGCGUGGGGGAUGAAGGCCUUCGGGUUGUAAACUCCUUUCGCUAUCGACGAAGCCACUUUGUGGUGACGGUAGGUAGAUAAGAAGCACCGGCUAACUACGUGCCAGCAGCCGCGGUAAUACGUAGGGUGCAAGCGUUGUCCGGAAUUACUGGGCGUAAAGAGCUCGUAGGUGGUUUGUCGCGUCGUCUGUGAAAUCCCGGGGCUUAACUUCGGGCGUGCAGGCGAUACGGGCAUAACUUGAGUGCUGUAGGGGAGACUGGAAUUCCUGGUGUAGCGGUGAAAUGCGCAGAUAUCAGGAGGAACACCGAUGGCGAAGGCAGGUCUCUGGGCAGUAACUGACGCUGAGGAGCGAAAGCAUGGGUAGCGAACAGGAUUAGAUACCCUGGUAGUCCAUGCCGUAAACGGUGGGCGCUAGGUGUAGGGGGCUUCCACGUCUUCUGUGCCGUAGCUAACGCAUUAAGCGCCCCGCCUGGGGAGUACGGCCGCAAGGCUAAAACUCAAAGGAAUUGACGGGGGCCCGCACAAGCGGCGGAGCAUGUGGAUUAAUUCGAUGCAACGCGAAGAACCUUACCUGGGCUUGACAUGUACCGGAUUGGA
This 927-nucleotide ribosomal RNA is filed under the name Corynebacterium sp. UST050418-646. RNAcentral describes it as "bacterial SSU rRNA". It matches the Rfam family "Bacterial small subunit ribosomal RNA", at positions 66 to 1000 of the family's 1533-position model. The record is from RNAcentral. Lineage: Bacteria; Bacillati; Actinomycetota; Actinomycetes; Mycobacteriales; Corynebacteriaceae.